RNAcentral lists this ribosomal RNA (258 nucleotides) under uncultured bacterium. Its description in RNAcentral is "partial small subunit ribosomal RNA". It matches the Rfam family "Bacterial small subunit ribosomal RNA", at positions 26 to 285 of the family's 1533-position model. The record is from RNAcentral.
AGGACGAACGCUGGCGGCGUGCUUAACACAUGCAAGUCGAGCGGAAAGGCCUCUUCGGGGGUGGAUCAGUGGCGAACGGGUGAGUAACACGUGAGCAACCUGCCCUUGACUCUGGGAUAACUUCGGGAAACCGGAGCUAAUACCGGAUAUGACACGCGGAGGCAUCUCCUGUGUGUGGAAAGAUUUAUUGGUCAAGGAUGGGCUCGCGGCCUAUCAGCUAGUUGGUGGGGUAAUGGCCUACCAAGGCGACGACGGGUA